Molecule: ribosomal RNA, 498 nt
Filed under: uncultured bacterium
Lineage: Bacteria
Description: partial 16S ribosomal RNA
Source: RNAcentral
GUAGUUAGCCGGGGCUUUCUUACAGGGUACCGUCACUUCUUCGUCCCCUGCGACAGAGGUUUACAAUCCGAAAACCUUCUUCCCUCACGCGGCGUUGCUGGGUCAGGCUUGCGCCCAUUGCCCAAUAUUCCCCACUGCUGCCUCCCGUAGGAGUCUGGACCGUGUCUCAGUUCCAGUGUGGCCGAUCAGCCUCUCAGCUCGGCUACCCAUCGUCGGCUUGGUGGGCUGUUAUCUCACCAACUACCUAAUGGGACGCGAACCCCUCUAAAAGCGAUAAAUCUUUGACCUCUUCCCGAUGCCGGGUUGUGGUCUUAUGCGGUAUUAGCAGUUGUUUCCACCUGUUAUUCCCCACUCUUAGGCAGGUUGUUCACGCGUUACUCACCCGUGCGCCACUAGAAUUAUCAAUUCCAUCCGAAAACUUCCUUAAUAAUCCCCGUUCGACUUGCAUGUGUUAGGCACGCCGCCAGCGUCGUCCUCGAGCCACGGAUCAACUACUGA